RNAcentral lists this ribosomal RNA (1181 nucleotides) under Arthrobacter sp. YNb-3. RNAcentral describes it as "bacterial SSU rRNA". It matches the Rfam family "Bacterial small subunit ribosomal RNA", at positions 130 to 1321 of the family's 1533-position model. Lineage: Bacteria; Bacillati; Actinomycetota; Actinomycetes; Micrococcales; Micrococcaceae. The record is from RNAcentral.
CCUUGACUCUGGGAUAAGCCUGGGAAACUGGGUCUAAUACCGGAUAUGACCGACUAUCGCAUGGUGGUUGGUGGAAAGCUUUUGUGGUUUUGGAUGGACUCGCGGCCUAUCAGCUUGUUGGUGGGGUAAUGGCCUACCAAGGCGACGACGGGUAGCCGGCCUGAGAGGGUGACCGGCCACACUGGGACUGAGACACGGCCCAGACUCCUACGGGAGGCAGCAGUGGGGAAUAUUGCACAAUGGGCGCAAGCCUGAUGCAGCGACGCCGCGUGAGGGAUGACGGCCUUCGGGUUGUAAACCUCUUUCAGUAGGGAAGAAGCCGCAAGGUGACGGUACCUGCAGAAGAAGCGCCGGCUAACUACGUGCCAGCAGCCGCGGUAAUACGUAGGGCGCAAGCGUUAUCCGGAAUUAUUGGGCGUAAAGAGCUCGUAGGCGGUUUGUCGCGUCUGCCGUGAAAGUCCGGGGCUCAACUCCGGAUCUGCGGUGGGUACGGGCAGACUAGAGUGAUGUAGGGGAGACUGGAAUUCCUGGUGUAGCGGUGAAAUGCGCAGAUAUCAGGAGGAACACCGAUGGCGAAGGCAGGUCUCUGGGCAUUAACUGACGCUGAGGAGCGAAAGCAUGGGGAGCGAACAGGAUUAGAUACCCUGGUAGUCCAUGCCGUAAACGUUGGGCACUAGGUGUGGGGGACAUUCCACGUUUUCCGCGCCGUAGCUAACGCAUUAAGUGCCCCGCCUGGGGAGUACGGCCGCAAGGCUAAAACUCAAAGGAAUUGACGGGGGCCCGCACAAGCGGCGGAGCAUGCGGAUUAAUUCGAUGCAACGCGAAGAACCUUACCAAGGCUUGACAUGAACCAGACCGGGCUGGAAACAGUUCUUCCCCUUUGGGGUUGGUUUACAGGUGGUGCAUGGUUGUCGUCAGCUCGUGUCGUGAGAUGUUGGGUUAAGUCCCGCAACGAGCGCAACCCUCGUUCCAUGUUGCCAGCGGGUAGUGCCGGGGACUCAUGGGAGACUGCCGGGGUCAACUCGGAGGAAGGUGGGGACGACGUCAAAUCAUCAUGCCCCUUAUGUCUUGGGCUUCACGCAUGCUACAAUGGCCGGUACAAAGGGUUGCGAUACUGUGAGGUGGAGCUAAUCCCAAAAAGCCGGUCUCAGUUCGGAUUGGGGUCUGCAACUCGACCCCAU